This 383-nucleotide ribosomal RNA is filed under the name Henlea petushkovi. RNAcentral's name for it is "partial 12S small subunit ribosomal RNA". The record is from RNAcentral. Lineage: Eukaryota; Metazoa; Annelida; Clitellata; Enchytraeida; Enchytraeidae.
AAGACCCAAUUUUUAGCCCGGAUAAUACGACCAAUAGGUUUAAAUCCAAAGAAAAUGGCGGUAUUUCAUAUAAUCAGGGGAACCUGGUUCUUAAUUCGAUACUCCACGAAAUCCAAACCUAAUUUUGCAAUUCCCACCCUGUGUACUGCUGUCGCCAGUCAACCUCUAAAAGAUAGUUGACAUAAAAUAUAUUUUCCUUAUUUAAGUCAAGUCAAAGUGCGCCUAAUAAUUUGGAGAAAGGGGGGUACAAUCUCAAUAAAAAUACAAAUAAUCUUUUUUAAAAAAAAUUUAAAGGGGGACUUGUUAUUAAUGAUCUCAAAACACUAUCUUUUAUAUUUAUUCUGAAAUACGUACAAAUUCCCCGGCCCUUUCUUUUUAAAAUG